Molecule: long non-coding RNA, 5442 nt
Filed under: Podarcis muralis (Common wall lizard)
Lineage: Eukaryota; Metazoa; Chordata; Lepidosauria; Squamata; Lacertidae
Description: lncRNA (ENSPMRG00000017806.1)
Source: RNAcentral
AUGAUCCUCUGUCCAGAUCCAAUUCCCCAGCACAGCUGCACUCCUUCUCCAACAGUAGCACCUGAGGCAACCCUUUAAAGUGGAAGGAGUUGAGUGCAAUGUCACAGUGUGUGUGUGUGUGUGUGUGUGUGCGCGCGCGCGCGCGCAUGCAACCUGCUAGCAUUGUAUAGCCUGAGGCAUCAAAUAUAAGAACAUAAGAAGAGACUGCUGGAUGAGGCCAAUGGUCCAUCUAGUCCAGCAUCCUGUUAUCACAGUGGCCAACCAGAUGCCUGUGGGAAACCUGCAAACAGGAUCUGAGCACAAGAGCCCUCUCCCCUCCUAUGUCUUCCAGCAACUGGUAUUCAGAAGCAUUACUGCCUCUGACUGUGGAGGCAACACACCCCAUUUGUCUAGGUCUUUGCAGCUUACACGUCCCCUUCUCCAUCUCCUACCCCUUGUAGCAACAGUAGAAUUUUGCUAGUUUAUGAGGAUUAGGGUAAGAAUAUCCUGUUGCUGUUGUCUUAAGAGGGCUGGAAAGUUUCUUAAAGAAAAAAGAAAGCCAAAGUUUUCUCAGGAAGUUGGAUUUUGCACUGUGUGCCACAUUUAGUCGCUUGUGCCACAUGGCAGAAUGCACAGAGGGCUGUUUUUUCUGCUCUGCUUCUCCUAGGAACAUCCUGGAGAUCCCAUUGUAAACAAGAAAGAAUCUGUUGUGGGCCAGGUAGCCAAAGGCCCCGAAUCUCUGCCUCCCGAGGAAAAGACCUCUCCACACUUGGAGUCCAGAGAAACAGAUAAGUUCCUGCCGCGGACACUUUCCCUGCGGAACUCCAUCACCAAAAGUAAGAGAUCCUCCGCCCUGAGCUCCUUCGCUGCCCCCAUUUCCCCGGGUGCAGAGGCACUGAUGUGGCCACGCCUGGGCGGGCCAUGGGUUUGCUUGAGGACUGAAGGCCUUGCCCUCUCCUUUAUCCCCCAGUCCUCUCUGAAGCUGGAGAGUCCCUGGAGGAUGAGUGGGAGUCCAUUGCCAACUUGGCUUCUGCUUGCAACAGCAUCUUGGAGGCCCUUUCCAGGGAAGGGCAGCAUGUGCUGGAGAGCAGGGAAUCCCUGUGCACCACCGUCCAGAGGGGCACGAGCCAGCAGCAACCCAAUGAGGAGUCCCAGUUUCCUCUCAGCCUUGCUGAUAAGGUCCUGCAUUUGGAAUCGACACUCAAGAAACUGCAGGAAGAUCUUCAGAAGGUGAGGUAGUGAGCAGGAAUGUAAGAGGCACAGAGGAUCAGACCAGCAUGGUUUUUGCAAAAUUUACUUUUGAAAGGUAUUCCCCAUUCUCCCAAAGUUAGAGCCAAACUAAAAAUAACAUUAAAUUUCCUUUGCACUCUUAAAAAAAGAGCAGCUGCUGCCCUUUUGAGAGGGAGGGGAGGAUGCAAGUUAUCAGGAUCUCAGCUGGUUAUUGGCACUUUGGAGGUACUACACAAAGAAAAUUCCCUUUCAGACAAGCCACACUUUUACCUGCUUAACACUUGACAUCAGGUGUAGGGCAGGUGGGCAUAGGUUGCCCAAAAUGGACUUGUGGGUCAAACUGGGUGGUUAUAUGGGCUGAAAGUGGGUUUUCCCCAUCACUUUCCUAACUGCAAAUUUUAUUUUAUUUUUUUAAGUGGAUUUGUUGUGCUAGGGCAACAGAGCACCUUAAUCCCCUUUAAUUAUGCAAAUCUCAAGUUCUGGUGUGCACUUGAAUUGCUCCCACAAAAUUCCUAGUCUGGAGGCACCCAGAGUCUUUGCCCUCCUGUAGGCAACAGCCCUUUGGGUAUUUGAAGAAUUCUGCUCAGUCUUUACUUCUCCAAACUAAAGAUGCCCAGUUCGUUCAAUAUUUCCUCAUGGGACUAAUUCCUCCCCUGAACCAGUUUUAAAUCAUACAAGGUAUUGUACCUGAGGCACAUGUCACUGGCUGCUUCUGCAGUCUUGAGGAACGGGUACAUCUGCCGCAGCAGCUUGUUCUGUGAAAAAGCCUACCUGGCCAUAGCUAUAUGUUAUCUCAGGGGCAAGCGAGCACAAGGUAGUUCAGGAUCUAUUGGUGGAUAUAUGGGGGAUCAGCCAGCGUUUUUCAUUCCCAAAAACAGCAACAAUUAAAACAACUACCCCACCACCAUAAAUAAAUAAAAAUAGGUUGCUGAGAAAGAAAACUUGGGAAAAAAGCAGGACUGGGUUUUUGUGAAAAAGGGCUUGUGGACUUGGCAUCUAUGCUGAUGCUGAGCACAAAUUCCUGGCCUGCGUUUGUGCUCAAAAGGCACCUUGCCCCUUAAGUCUUAGUGUACUUCCAUCCACUUCCUGAGCUGCAGUUGUGCACCUGAUUCUGGUUGGUAGACCUCAAGACCUCAAGAUUCUGGUAGAACAAGCAAGUAGGUCCCACAAGCCCAAAGGCUGCUCAGCCCCUGUGUAUAAAUCUGUGUAUAAAUAAAUGCAGAUAGAAUGAAACCUUUGCAGUGAGGGAACUGCCCAUAAUCUUCAUUCCCUCCCCCCACACACACACACUUCAAGCCCUGCAGAAAGCCAUCAGAUUUGUUCAUGAAUGUGAACCAUGAAUUCUUCCCAUUUUCCUUUAAAAAUCAUUCUGAAAGGAGGAGGCUUCCUCUUAAAAUAGCUUGGCAUCCACCUAUAACACCCUCACCCCCGGGUAUGUGUCAUUAUCAGGACUCGCUGCCCAAACUCAGACAUUGCAGACUGUCUGGUUUUCCUCCCUUCGUAGAGAUGUGGGUUUCCUUGUUUAUUUUUUAGUCAUGCCAUGUGGAACUUUCUCCUCAGCAAUGUCUGAAUUAAUGAGGCCUCACUAGAACAGUUUGUGGGGUAUUGCCUACAAAACCUCCAGCCACAAUGCAUUUAUUAAUCUCUGAGGUGCCGAGGGAACUCCUGAGCAGUCUUGCUGGAACAGAUCAGUCCAGUUGUCAUUCAGGAAGCAUUUUCUAGCCAACAGGUUCCAUCCUUAUUCCCCCCCCCCCGGUCACUCUGGUGGGCCUAAUUUGACAGGUGGGUAGCGCCACCUUGCCACCUAAUGCCAUAGUGACAUCAGGUGACGCUGCAUUUUGAGGCCCCAAUUGUUUGCACUUCAAAGCCUAGUGUGGGGCUGUUUGAAAGCCCUUUUCGAAAGGGUCCUGGUGGUUGGGAAUGUUUCCAGCCUGGCACAGAAUGCUGAAGGAGAAGGGGGCCUGAUGGAGCUCCUGGGGGCCGAGUGUUCCUCCAACAAAACAUAGCAAACAGGGAAGGGCACUGUCUUCCCACCCCCUCAAGUGCUAUUUAUUUUAUUUGUUGAAUCCUCACCCAAAGGAGCCCUGGGCAGCAAACAACAGAAUGCUGAAGCAAUACAAUUAAAUACAAAUUUAUUUAUUUUAUUUUAAAAAAAACAUUUAAGAGCAUCUAUUUUAAAAAUCAGCUAAUAAUUUCAGGGUUGCUGGGAGCAGUAUCUUUUGGCCAUCAAAAGCCUGGGUGAGCAGGAACGGUUUAAAAUUCCUCUGGAAUGUUACACUGAUGCAGAAGACAAGAUACACCUCACUGGGGAGGGUGUUCCCACACAUUGGGAACCACCACUGAGAAGGUCCUGCUACGAGUCAGCAUCAUCCGGAAGACACACUGCACCAACAGCAGCAGCAGGAUCUGCUGUCUAGGCAUGCGACAGGGUCUCUCUUGAGUACCUCAGCGAGUGUGUGGCUUCAUAUGGUCAGAUGCAGGCUUUAAUUGUUGCAGCAACAGCAGCCUUGUCCCCUCAGCCUCUAGAUGGAUUAGAACCAAGCCAGCGUAAUGGGAUGGAGCCCCUGAUGUGUUUCUGAGUUUCCUUUCUUCCUUGUUUGUCCUCCAGGAGAAGGCUGAAAAGGCGGCGUUGCAGGCGGAAGUGCAGACCCUUCAAGAGAACACCCAGCGCUUGAAGGAAGCGUCAGAGACGCGGCAGCUCAGCUCAGCCAGGUCACACAGAUGCUGGGCGGCCCCCCAACGCCUCCCCACUGCCCUUGAGGCCCUCUGACCUCACUCACACCUUUGGGGGCCUAGGAGGGGGUAGCUGGUGCUCUCUCUCACUCCCUCGUUACUUGGAGCACAACAGAGACUUUUGACAGGCUGUUCCAUUACAACGUGCUCCUGCCCCCCCCCACUUAAGCCCUCCCUCCGCUAGCCUUUGAUGUGGCUAGUGCUACAGCUCUCACCACUUGGUGGGGGGGGUGUUGUAUAUUCCCAGAAUGGGGGGUGGUUGAGUGGAAGCUGAGGUUUGGGGGCCCAAAGGACACAGGGCUCCACUGGCCGCCUUGGGUGAGGUGGAACACUUUGGGCCCCUGUUACUGAACAGGUUGCACCUAUCAACCAAGGCUUGCCACCCAGUUCCUUUCAGGGGCUACUGCCCCACCCCCUUUCCCAAUUAAUUUGUGCACCAGCCUGUAACCUUAGUUUGGAGCCAUACAAGCCUCCUCUCCAGGGUGGGGUUAGGGGUGGGAAUGGUUGUCUUGUUGAGCAUCUUUUUUAAUUUUUUUAAAAACCGAAUUACGAUUUUGGACCCUGGACUUUUCUUGCCACCAGCCCCCGUGGAAAUGCCACCCUUGUGGUUCCAUCGGACAAAAUCAAAUAAAAUAAAUUCACCAGGCAAUAACUGCAGAUCGCCUUUGAGGAAGGGGAGAGUGUGACAUGCCCAGGUUGACGAUUUGCCCUGGGCAGAGGUGUGUACAGUGGUGGUGCUGGAGGGAGAAGGAUUGAGCAAACCUUCCCUUGCUGCCUCCCUCCCUCCCUCCCUCCCUCCCUCCUCCCCCCAACCCAUCCCAGCACUGAUUUGGGACUGCACAGGGGGCUUCCUGCCUGAUGGAGGCCUUGGCCCGCAUGCCCGUUAACUGUGAAGUUUUUGAAAGCUGUGACACAAGCCCUGCUCCCUCCUUGCCCUGUGUGGUCCUCAUUUCCACCUCUUCUUGUAACCCAUCACAGAUUCUUCCUAGGUGGGGGCAAGACAAUCCAGCUUGCUGUUUUAUCUCACCGCCUCCAGUGGUGCUACCCAUUGCUCCCCCCUCCUCCAAUUCUGCCAGGGGUAGCCAACGUGACGCCCUCCGGUUGUGGCGGACUCACACCUUCCCUGACUAUUGGCCAUGCUGACUCAGGCUGGUUGGAGCUGAGAGCCCCAGCAAGAUCCAGAGGGCAGCUCGUUGGCUAUCCUGAUCUUGGCCCGCCCCACCUCGAGAAGCAAGAGGAGGUGGGGCACCCUUCUCCCCCUGUGCCGUUUUGUGUCUGUGUGUCCUGUACAUAUUUUUCCUUCCUUCCUCCUUGGACCAAGGUUAAGAGAGGCGAGGGGAGGUGGGGAAUCUUGUUGUCCGUCUGUCUUCCCCACCCCAGCCUCCUGCCUGGAUUUGAACUGAAUGUACAGACUAGCCGUGGCCCUCCUUGUGCAAUAAAGUCUUUGGUCUGCAGCCACAUGCCGUGGGCUCCUUUGUCGUCCUUGCUGGCAACUUUUGG